RNAcentral lists this ribosomal RNA (301 nucleotides) under uncultured bacterium. Its description in RNAcentral is "partial 16S ribosomal RNA". It matches the Rfam family "Bacterial small subunit ribosomal RNA", at positions 509 to 807 of the family's 1533-position model. The record is from RNAcentral.
CAGUCGCCACGGGAAUACGAAGGGGGCUAGCGUUGUUCGGAAUUACUGGGCGUAAAGGGCGCGUAGGCGGCCAUUCAAGUUAGAUGUGAAAGCCCUGGGCUCAACCUAGGAAUUGCACUUGAUACUGUUUGGCUUGAGUUCGGGAGAGGUGAGUGGAAUUCCCAGUGUAGAGGUGAAAUUCGUAGAUAUUGGGAAGAACACCAGUGGCGAAGGCGGCUCACUGGACCGACACUGACGCUGAGGCGCGAAAGCGUGGGGAGCAAACAGGAUUAGAUACCCGCGUAGUCCCUGUCUCUUAUAC